This 553-nucleotide ribosomal RNA is filed under the name uncultured crenarchaeote. Its description in RNAcentral is "bacterial SSU rRNA". It matches the Rfam family "Archaeal small subunit ribosomal RNA", at positions 325 to 879 of the family's 1478-position model. Lineage: Archaea; Thermoproteati; Thermoproteota. The record is from RNAcentral.
AUGGGGUGCAGCAGGCGAGAAAACUUUGCAAUGUGCGAAAGCACGACAAGGUUAAUCCGAGUGUUUUCUGCUAAAGAAAUCUUUUGUUAGUUCUAAAAACACUAGCGAAUAAGGGGUGGGCAAGUUCUGGUGUCAGCCGCCGCGGUAAAACCAGCACCUCAAGUGGUCAGGAGGAUUAUUGGGCCUAAAGCAUCCGUAGCCGGCUAUGUUAGUUUUCGGUUAAAUCCAUGUGCUCAACACAUGGGCCGUCGAGAAUACUGCAUAGCUAGGGAGUGGGAGAGGUAGACGGUACUCGGUAGGAAGGGGUAAAAUCCUUUGAUCUAUCGAUGACCACCAGUGGCGAAGGCGGUCUACCAGAACACGUCCGACGGUGAGGGAUGAAAGCUGGGGGAGCAAACCGGAUUAGAUACCCGGGUAGUCCCAGCUGUAAACUAUGCAAACUCAGUGAUGCAUUGGCUUGUGGCCAGUGCAGUGCCGCAGAGAAGUCGUUAAGUUUGCCGCCUGGGAAGUACGUACGCAAGUAUGAAACUUAAAGGAAUUGGCGGGGGAGCAC